GCCCCUAUAGCUCAAUGGAUAGAGCGACACCCUUCGAAGGUGGAGAUCUGGGUUCAACUCCUGGUGGGGGCA
Molecule: transfer RNA, 72 nt
Filed under: Candidatus Yanofskybacteria bacterium RIFCSPHIGHO2_01_FULL_43_32
Lineage: Bacteria; Candidatus Yanofskyibacteriota
Also listed under: 5 other names
Description: tRNA-Arg
Rfam family: tRNA
About the family: Transfer RNA (tRNA) molecules are approximately 80 nucleotides in length. Their secondary structure includes four short double-helical elements and three loops (D, anti-codon, and T loops).
Source: RNAcentral